Molecule: long non-coding RNA, 1100 nt
Organism: Patiria miniata (bat star)
Lineage: Eukaryota; Metazoa; Echinodermata; Asteroidea; Valvatida; Asterinidae
Exons: 3
Source: RefSeq, a predicted model, not a curated record
CCGAAGAUUAACGAACCGGUCCGACCGGGCUUCGUUCCCAAGAAUCGCUGUGCACAACUGAAUAGUAAACAAUGCCAACGUUGAUAGUAAGGGUUCAAGCGGGUAUUCGCAUUAACCUCCAUUAUGCUAAGUGUAUUCAAUUCCCGGUAAAAUAACUCGCCUUUUCUGUAAGCGCUGUACAAUAUUGUGAUCGUUGUUUUCAGUAUACGGCCACAAUAUUUGCCAGGGUCUUCCUGUAACCAGAGAAACACAAUUUUCAUGACCUAUAAUCUUUUGGUCUCCCCUGACUGAUAUUCCUGGACCUGUUUUCGAGACUGCAAUGCUUCUGUGAUAAGCCCAGCAUUCGGCGCUUUUGUCGGUCGGCAGGAUCCAGACCGGUGCGAUGCAAAACACAGCAAAGUACCGUUGCUCUAGAUACAUAUUUAAUAUUCACAGCAUGGCUAAGCACAUUUUAUGAGUGUUAAAGUUCUGUGAAGAUGGUAUGUAUUCAGCUUAUUUGUAUUAACCACUUUUUAAUUUAGAAAUCAUUUUCAAAUGUGGUGGCUAUUUUUACGGAAGCCGUAACGUGUUUUUCAAUAGCUAUAUAGUUACAGAAUUGCAGCGCAACAUUGCAAAAGUGAGACUUUAAAUUCCAAAAGCAAUUGAGGUACAUGUACUUUGGUAGCUUUAUAGGAUGAUGCCGUGCAUUUUGAUUGCUGAAGGUGUGGGUUCAAAUCUCAGUGAGAACUUUUUUUUAAGUUUCCCAAAAUAUAUAUAUUUUCUUAUUUUCAAGGUUUUUAAUCAAAUCCUACUUUGUGUUGAAGCUGAUUUAACUGUACUUUCUGAUUCAUGGCUCUGUCUGGAUGAUUUUUUUUAAAGGGAAGUAAAUCCGAGAACCAUUCUGUUGACAACUGAUGCAUGCAAACAAUUAAUUGUUGACUUCCGUAAAAAUAGCAAGAGCAUUUGUUAAAAAAAUUAAAUUACUUAAUAGAAAAUAAUGUACUUGAUUUUCUGUGGAAUGGAUUAUGGAUUGUACCUUUUUUGAUGGAUAAAGGUGAUUCUAUUGUCAUAUAUUGUAACUAUUUAAGAAUUAUACAAACUGGGAAACAAAAUAUUGUUAG